AUUCUGUCAAGUGCUAUUGCACUUUAAAGUGUCAAAACAGCACCUCUCGAUUUUGUAAACAUGUUUCCACGUGGAAGGGAGUAGUUGUGAUGAUCAUGAUUAACCCACAUACAUUGAUUUAGUGAACAAAAACACUCGUACAGCUGUAGAGUACAUUUUGAACAGCCAUCUCCAGGUAUGACAAAAAUUACACAAUUGACCCUAUAAGGAUAUACUCUUAAGACAGUGAUGUGCAAGUUCAAGGUUUGCCUGAUCAGAUACUUUAAUAAUAAAGAACAUGAAGAAUGGGUGAAAAAAUUCUCACAUUAUCAUGCUGCAAAAUAGUACAUUUCAGCUGUAACAAAACAAAUUAUCUGAUGAAAGCUUCAACCAUGAGAAUCUAGGAAAGGAUGUCAAGUCCAAAGAGAAGGCCAUAUAACAAAAGGUUGCUGAAUUCAGGAAGACUAGCUGGGAUGAUACAGUACUUUACUACUCAUAUGAACCAUAUCUGAACAUCAUUUGAGGAUCCCUUUCUCAGAAAAAAAGAAUUUGCAUAUUCAAAGACUCUAUAGUUUAUUGUUAAUUUGUUCGUUGUUUAACAUUCUUCUUGAGAAAUUUUCACUCAUAUGGGGAUGCCAACAUUUGUCUGUGGAGAGCUUCAAAUUUUGUCCUUUACCUGGCAUACAUGGCUAA
Molecule: long non-coding RNA, 672 nt
Organism: Saccostrea cuccullata (small rock oyster)
Lineage: Eukaryota; Metazoa; Mollusca; Bivalvia; Ostreida; Ostreidae
Exons: 6
Source: RefSeq, a predicted model, not a curated record